GACGAACGCUGGCGGCGUGCUUAACACAUGCAAGUCGAACGGAAAGGCCCUGCUGUGGUGGUGUGCUCGAGUGGCGAACGGGUGAGUAACACGUGAGUAACCUGCCCAUGACUUUGGGAUAACUUCAGGAAACUGGGGCUAAUACCGGAUAGGAGCUCCUGCUGCAUGGUGGGGGUGGGAAAGUUUCGGCGGUUGGGGAUGGACUCGCGGCUUAUCAGCUUGUUGGUGGGGUAGUGGCUUACCAAGGCUUUGACGGGUAGCCGGCCUGAGAGGGUGACCGGCCACAUUGGGACUGAGAUACGGCCCAGACUCCUACGGGAGGCAGCAGUGGGGAAUAUUGCACAAUGGGCGGAAGCCUGAUGCAGCAACGCCGCGUGCGGGAUGACGGCCUUCGGGUUGUAAACCGCUUUCGCCUGUGACGAAGCGUGAGUGACGGUAAUGGGUAAAGAAGCACCGGCUAACUACGUG
Molecule: ribosomal RNA, 468 nt
Filed under: uncultured bacterium
Lineage: Bacteria
Description: partial 16S ribosomal RNA
Rfam family: Bacterial small subunit ribosomal RNA
Source: RNAcentral